Molecule: ribosomal RNA, 490 nt
Filed under: uncultured bacterium
Lineage: Bacteria
Description: partial 16S ribosomal RNA
Rfam family: Bacterial small subunit ribosomal RNA
Source: RNAcentral
GAUGAACGCUAGCUACAGGCUUAACACAUGCAAGUCGAGGGGAAACGAUGAGAGAGCUUGCUCUCUUAGGCGUCGACCGGCGCACGGGUGAGUAACGCGUAUCCAACCUACCCAUUACAGGGGGAUAACCUUGCGAAAGUAAGACUAAUACCCCAUGGCAUUUUAUGGUGGCAUCAUUAUAGGAUUAAAGAUUUAUUGGUAAUGGAUGGGGAUGCGUCUGAUUAGCUUGUUGGCGGGGUAACGGCCCACCAAGGCAACGAUCAGUAGGGGUUCUGAGAGGAAGGUCCCCCACAUUGGAACUGAGACACGGUCCAAACUCCUACGGGAGGCAGCAGUAAGGAAUAUUGGUCAAUGGGCGAGAGCUUGAACCAGCCAAGUAGCGUGCAGGAUGACGGCCCUAUGGGUUGUAAACUGCUUUUAUAGGGGAAUAAAGUGAGCUACGUGUAGUUUAUUGCAUGUACCCUAUGAAUAAGGACCGGCUAAUUCCGUG